UAAACUAGGAUUAGAUACCCUAUUAUUUUAAAUGUUAAUUUUUGGCCUGGGUAUUAUUAGUUAUUUUCUCUAAACCUAAAGAAUUUGGCGGUGUUUCAGUCUAUUUAGAGGAAUUUGCUUCAUAAUCGAUAAUCCCCGUUUUAUCUUUCUUAAUUUUAUAGUAUGUAUAUCGCUGUUAUAAGUUUAUUUUUUUAGAAUAUAAAUUUACUUUAUUUAUAAAUUUAAUUUAUUUCA
Molecule: ribosomal RNA, 234 nt
Filed under: Asceles tanarata singapura
Lineage: Eukaryota; Metazoa; Arthropoda; Insecta; Phasmatodea; Lonchodidae
Description: partial 12S ribosomal RNA
Source: RNAcentral